UUGUGUAAUUUCCAAUGGUACUUGAAAGCAGCAUCAGCGACAACAGCAGCUCCUGCGUGUGCUUAUUAUUUUUAUUAAAUAUAACAAUAUGAGUGUAGGAAUGACAAUCCAGCCCUUAUGUACAUGUGGCAACAGGUACAUAAUUCAAAUGAUUACAUAAAGAGGUGUUC
Molecule: long non-coding RNA, 170 nt
Organism: Thalassophryne amazonica
Lineage: Eukaryota; Metazoa; Chordata; Actinopteri; Batrachoidiformes; Batrachoididae
Exons: 3
Source: RefSeq, a predicted model, not a curated record